AACGAACGCUGGCGGCAUGCCUAACACAUGCAAGUCGAACGAGACCUUCGGGUCUAGUGGCGCACGGGUGCGUAACGCGUGGGAACCUGCCUUUAGGUUCGGAAUAACUCAGAGAAAUUUGAGCUAAUACCGGAUGAUGUCUUCGGACCAAAGAUUUAUCGCCUUUAGAUGGGCCGGCGUUGGAUUAGCUAGUUGGUGGGGUAAAGGCCUACCAAGGCGACGAUCCAUAGCUGGUCUGAGAGGAUGAUCAGCCACACUGGGACUGAGACACGGCCCAGAAUCCUACGGGAGGCAGCAGUGGGGAAUAUUGGACAAUGGGCGAAAGCCUGAUCCAGCAAUGCCGCGUGAGUGAUGAAGGCCUUAGGGUUGUAAAGCUCUUUUACCCGAGAUGAUAAUGACAGUAUCGGGAGAAUAAGCUCCGGCUAACUCCGUG
RNAcentral lists this ribosomal RNA (433 nucleotides) under uncultured bacterium. Its description in RNAcentral is "partial 16S ribosomal RNA". It matches the Rfam family "Bacterial small subunit ribosomal RNA", at positions 29 to 507 of the family's 1533-position model. The record is from RNAcentral.